CGCUAGCGGCAGGCCUAAUACAUGCAAGUCGAGGGGUAACAGGAAGUGCUUGCACUUCGCUGACGACCGGCGCACGGGUGAGUAUCGCGUAUACAAUCUGCCUCAUACUAGGGAAUAGCCCGAAGAAAUUUGGAUUAAUGCCCUAUAGUAUCUUUUUAAGGCAUCUUAUUAAGAUUAAAGGUUACGGUAUGAGAUGAGUAUGCGUUCUAUUAGCUAGUAGGUGUGGUAACGGCACACCUAGGCUACGAUAGAUAGGGGCCCUGAGAGGGGGAUCCCCCACACUGGUACUGAGACACGGACCAGACUCCUACGGGAGGCAGCAGUAAGGAAUAUUGGUCAAUGGACGAAAGUCUGAACCAGCCAUGCCGCGUGCAGGAUGACUGCCCUAUGGGUUGUAAACUGCUUUUAUAUAGGAAGAAAAACUUUCUCGUGAGAAAGCUUGACGGUACUAUAAGAAUAAGGAUCGGCUAAC
This 472-nucleotide ribosomal RNA is filed under the name uncultured Bacteroidota bacterium. Its description in RNAcentral is "bacterial SSU rRNA". It matches the Rfam family "Bacterial small subunit ribosomal RNA", at positions 34 to 501 of the family's 1533-position model. Lineage: Bacteria; Pseudomonadati; Bacteroidota. The record is from RNAcentral.